Molecule: ribosomal RNA, 482 nt
Filed under: uncultured bacterium
Lineage: Bacteria
Description: partial 16S ribosomal RNA
Rfam family: Bacterial small subunit ribosomal RNA
Source: RNAcentral
GACGAACGCUGGCGGCGUGCCUAACACAUGCAAGUCGAACGGAACUGUUUUGAAAGAUUUCUUCGGAAUGAAUUUGAUUUAGUUUAGUGGCGGACGGGUGAGUAACGCGUGAGUAACCUGCCUUCAAGAGGGGAAUAACAUUCUGAAAAGAAUGCUAAUACCGCAUGACAUAUCGGAACCACAUGGUUUUGAUAUCAAAGAUUUUAUCGCUUGAAGAUGGACUCGCGUCCGAUUAGUUAGUUGGUGAGGUAACGGCUUACCAAGACCGCGAUCGGUAGCCGGAAUGAGAAGUUGAACGGGCACAUUGGGACUGGGACACGGCCCAGACUCCCACGGGAGGGAGGAGUGGGGGAUAUUGCGCAAUGGGGGCAACCCUGACGCAGCAACGCCGCGUGAAGGAUGAAGGUUUUCGGAUUGUAAACUUCUUUUAUUAAGGACGAAAAAUGACGGUACUUAAUGAAUAAGCUCCGGCUAACUACGUG